This 397-nucleotide ribosomal RNA is filed under the name uncultured bacterium. RNAcentral's name for it is "partial 16S ribosomal RNA". It matches the Rfam family "Bacterial small subunit ribosomal RNA", at positions 523 to 918 of the family's 1533-position model. The record is from RNAcentral.
AUACGUAGGGGGCGAGCGUUGUCCGGAAUGAUUGGGCGUAAAGGGCGCGUAGGCGGCCCGGUAAGUCUGGAGUGAAAGUCCUGUUUUUAAGAUGGGAAUUGCUUUGGAUACUGUCGGGCUUGAGUGCAGGAGAGGUAAGUGGAAUUACCAGUGUAGCGGUGAAAUGCGUAGAGAUUGGGAGGAACACCAGUGGCGAAGGCGACUUACUGGACUGUAACUGACGCUGAGGCGCGAAAGUGUGGGGAGCAAACAGGAUUAGAUACCCUGGUAGUCCACACUGUAAACGAUGAAUGCUAGGUGUAGGGGGUAUCGACCCCUUCUGUGCCGCAGUCAACACAAUAAGCAUUCCGCCUGGGGAGUACGGCCGCAAGGUUGAAACUCAAAGGAAUUGACGGGG